GACGAACCGAGCGAACGUUGUUCGGAAUCACUGGGCUUAAAGGGUGCGUAGGCGGUUCGCUAAGUUGGAUGUGAAAACUAUGGGCUCAACCCAUAGCCUGCAUCCAAUACUGACGAACUAGAGUUCUGGAGGGGGUAGCGGAAUUCCUGGUGUAGCGGUGAAAUGCGUAGAUAUCAGGAGGAACACCGGUGGCGAAGGCGGCAUCCUGGACCGACACUGACGCUGAGGAGCGAAAGCCAGGGGAGCAAACGGG
This 253-nucleotide ribosomal RNA is filed under the name uncultured bacterium. RNAcentral's name for it is "partial 16S ribosomal RNA". It matches the Rfam family "Bacterial small subunit ribosomal RNA", at positions 524 to 776 of the family's 1533-position model. The record is from RNAcentral.